AGAGUUUGAUCCUGGCUCAGGAUGAACGCUAGCGGCAGGCUUAACACAUGCAAGUCGAGGGGUAUAAGUCUUCGGAUUUAGAGACCGGCGCACGGGUGCGUAACGCGUAUGCAAUCUACCUUUCACAGAGGGAUAGCCCAGAGAAAUUUGGAUUAAUACCUCAUAGUAUAGCUGAACCGCAUGGUUCUACUAUUAAAGUCACAACGGUGAAAGAUGAGCAUGCGUCCCAUUAGCUAGUUGGUAAGGUAACGGCUUACCAAGGCUACGAUGGGUAGGGGUCCUGAGAGGGAGAUCCCCCACACUGGUACUGAGACACGGACCAGACUCCUACGGGAGGCAGCAGUGAGGAAUAUUGGUCAAUGGACGCAAGUCUGAACCAGCCAUGCCGCGUGCAGGAUGACGGUCCUAUGGAUUGUAAACUGCUUUUGCACAGGAAGAAACAACUCUACGUGUAGAGUCUUGACGGUACUGUGAGAAUAAGGAUCGGCUAACUCCGUGCCAGCAGCCGCGGUAAUACGGAGGAUCCAAGCGUUAUCCGGAAUCAUUGGGUUUAAAGGGUCCGUAGGCGGUUUAGUAAGUCAGUGGUGAAAGCCCAUCGCUCAACGGUGGAACGGCCAUUGAUACUGCUAGACUUGAAUUAUUAGGAAGUAACUAGAAUAUGUAGUGUAGCGGUGAAAUGCUUAGAGAUUACAUGGAAUACCAAUUGCGAAGGCAGGUUACUACUAAUAUUGACGCUGAUGGACGAAAGCGUGGGUAGCGAACAGGAUUAGAUACCCUGGUAGUCCACGCCGUAAACGAUGGAUACUAGCUGUUGGAAGCAAUUUCAGUGGCUAAGCGAAAGUGAUAAGUAUCCCACCUGGGGAGUACGUUCGCAAGAAUGAAACUCAAAGGGAUUGACGGGGGCCCGCACAAGCGGUGGAGCAUGUGGUUUAAUUCGAUGAUACGCGAGGAACCUUACCAAGGCUUAAAUGUAGAUUGACCGGUUUGGAAACAGACUUUUCGCAAGACAAUUUACAAGGUGCUGCAUGGUUGUCGUCAGCUCGUGCCGUGAGGUGUCAGGUUAAGUCCUAUAACGAGCGCAACCCCUGUUGUUAGUUGCCAGCGAGUCAUGUCGGGAACUCUAACAAGACUGCCAGUGUAAACUGUGAGGAAGGUGGGGAUGACGUCAAAUCAUCACGGCCCUUACGCCUUGGGCUACACACGUGCUACAAUGGCCGGUACAGAGAGCAGCCACUGGGCGACCAGGAGCGAAUCUAUAAAACCGGUCACAGUUCGGAUCGGAGUCUGCAACUCGACUCCGUGAAGCUGGAAUCGCUAGUAAUCGGAUAUCAGCCAUGAUCCGGUGAAUACGUUCCCGGGCCUUGUACACACCGCCCGUCAAGCCAUGGAAGCUGGGGGUGCCUGAAGUCGGUGACCGCAAGGAGCUGCCUAGGGUAAAACUGGUAACUAGGGCUAAGUCGGAACAAGGUAGCCGUACCGGAAGGUGCGGCUG
RNAcentral lists this ribosomal RNA (1492 nucleotides) under metagenome. Its description in RNAcentral is "bacterial SSU rRNA". It matches the Rfam family "Bacterial small subunit ribosomal RNA". The record is from RNAcentral.